Non-coding RNA from Equus caballus (horse), 501 nucleotides. Lineage: Eukaryota; Metazoa; Chordata; Mammalia; Perissodactyla; Equidae. The record is from RefSeq and is a predicted model, not a curated record.
AGGGUCCACUUCGGAGCCCAGUUCCCGAUACCGAAAGGCAGUAGAUGGCACCUAGCACCCCGAACGCCGAGCAGAAGACCGAGCGCAGCAUCUGGACGCAGAGUGGAAAAAGAGACUGUUUUGGUGGUGUCUGGAGAACGGAUUGUCGAGGGGAAGAGCGGAAGCGCGGAAGCGUGGAGACCAGCGGUUAGGAGGCCCUCGCAGUAGACCAGGCCUCCCUCUAAGCCAGUGGCCUCCAGAUGUUUUGACCAUCGUCUACCGAUCCAAUCCAGAAUACUGCGUUAUAUUUAGUUGUCCUGUCUCCUUAGUCUCUUCCAAUCUGUCACAGUGAUGAGGAUCAAGGCUGCCCCAGGGAGAAGCCCAAGGCUUCCUGGCCUACAUACCAUCUACAUCAUCCUCCGGGAAGCAUAGGAUGUCCUGACCUGAUUCGACCUGAUUUGUAUCCAAAGUUAUAGGACCACCCAAUAAGCAGACCCCACCUGCACUGAUGCCAUUUUAAUG